This 497-nucleotide ribosomal RNA is filed under the name uncultured bacterium. RNAcentral's name for it is "partial 16S ribosomal RNA". It matches the Rfam family "Bacterial small subunit ribosomal RNA", at positions 28 to 507 of the family's 1533-position model. The record is from RNAcentral.
GAUGAACGCUGGCGGCGUGCCUAAUACAUGCAAGUCGAGCGAACAGACGAGGAGCUUGCUCCUCUGACGUUAGCGGCGGACGGGUGAGUAACACGUGGAUAACCUACCUAUAAGACUGGGAUAACUUCGGGAAACCGGAGCUAAUACCGGAUAAUAUAUUGAACCGCAUGGUUCAAUAGUGAAAGACGGUUUUGCUGUCACUUAUAGAUGGAUCCGCGCCGCAUUAGCUAGUUGGUAAGGUAACGGCUUACCAAGGCGACGAUGCGUAGCCGACCUGAGAGGGUGAUCGGCCACAAUGGAACUGGGAAACGGUCCAGACUCCUACGGGAGGCAGCAGUAGGGAAUCUUCCGCAAUGGGCGAAAGCCUGACGGAGCAACGCCGCGGGAGUGAAGAAGGUUUUCGGAUCGUAAAACUCUGUUAUUAGGGAAGAACAAAUGUGUAAGUAACUAUGCACGUCUUGACGGUACCUAAUCAGAAAGCCACGGCUAACUACGUG